CAGUAGCCGCGGUAAUACGUAGGUGGCGAGCGUUGUCCGGAAUUAUUGGGCGUAAAGGGAGCGCAGGAGGACAUAUAAGUCCAUCUUAAAAGUGCGGGGCUCAACCACGUGAGGGGAUGGAAACUGUAUGCCUUGAGUGCAGGAGAGGAAAGCGGAAUUCCCAGUGUAGCGGUGAAAUGCGUAGAUAUUGGGAGGAACACCAGUGGCGAAGGCGGCUUUCUGGACUAUAACUGACGCUGAGGCUCGAAAGCCAGGGGAGUGAACGGGAUUAGAUACCCCCGUAGUCCCUGUCUCUUAUACC
Molecule: ribosomal RNA, 301 nt
Filed under: uncultured bacterium
Lineage: Bacteria
Description: partial 16S ribosomal RNA
Rfam family: Bacterial small subunit ribosomal RNA
Source: RNAcentral